CGCCUGUUUAUCAAAAACAUCUUUUCUUGUUAGUUUUUGAAAUAUGGCCUGCCCGCUGACUUUGGUGUUGAAGGGCCGCGGUAUUUUGACCGUGCAAAGGUAGCAUAGUCAUUAGUUCUUUAAUUGUGAUCUGGUAUGAAUGGCUUGACGAGGCAUGGGCUGUCUUAAUUUUGAAUUGUUUAUUGAAUUUGGUCUUUGAGUUAAAAUUCUUAGAUGUUUUUAUGGGACGAGAAGACCCUAUAGAGUUUAACAUUUAUUAUGGUCCUUUUCUGUUUGUGAGGGUUCACUGGGCCAUCUAAUAUGUUUUGUUGGGGUGAUGGGAGUGAUUAAUUUAACCCCUCCUUUUAUUAUUAUAUUUAUUUAUAUUUACUUGAUCCAUUUAUUUUGAUUGUAAGAUUAAAUUACCUUAGGGAUAACAGCGUAA
This 424-nucleotide ribosomal RNA is filed under the name Reticulitermes clypeatus. RNAcentral describes it as "partial 16S ribosomal RNA". It matches the Rfam family "Bacterial large subunit ribosomal RNA", at positions 1797 to 2485 of the family's 2925-position model. The record is from RNAcentral. Lineage: Eukaryota; Metazoa; Arthropoda; Insecta; Blattodea; Rhinotermitidae.